CAGUGUCUGCCAUUGCCUUCAUCUCCAUCGUCACCAGCAUCGGCCUGGCCCUCAUCUCCCUCAAAUGCUUUCCUUUCUGCAUUUUUUGCUUCGAAUCUUUUUAGAGGUCUUUUUAUUUGGAGAUUUGUGGAAAGGAUAACACCUAAGGGAGAUCGGGGUUUCUUAAGUUCUGAUUAAGGGGUUUUUCAUUCUGAUUCUCACCGACAUCGAGUCCCCCUCCAAAUCUCAUGCAGGUGCUUUCCUUCCC
RNAcentral lists this long non-coding RNA (247 nucleotides) under Elaeis guineensis (African oil palm). RNAcentral's name for it is "long non-coding RNA (EGUI_LNC026918)". The record is from RNAcentral. Lineage: Eukaryota; Viridiplantae; Streptophyta; Magnoliopsida; Arecales; Arecaceae.